Long non-coding RNA from Acanthopagrus latus (yellowfin seabream), 1294 nucleotides. RefSeq lists it as uncharacterized. The transcript has 3 exons. Lineage: Eukaryota; Metazoa; Chordata; Actinopteri; Spariformes; Sparidae. The record is from RefSeq and is a predicted model, not a curated record.
GGCGGUUGACUUUUUUUUUUUUUUUUUUUGCUAAUUACUGCGUUUUGACUAAUUACUCUUAUCAACCUUAUUGUCACAUCGUUGAAGUUGAUUUUAUUGUUGUUUUGAAUUGACGAAGAACAAGCAACAACUACACAGGAAAUCUGUCAUGCUGAUGGGACAAGAGAAAGACCCCCCAACCCCCCUGUGCUAAAUGUCCCUGUGCCCACAACAGACCAACAGACAGACAGGUACUUCUGACUGUCUGUCCGGAGAGGCAUAAUCUGACUGUGAGCCUUACAACUGUUUUUCUUCUACCUUGUGUGAAUUUGGCUAGCUGUUCACUGUAAUGACUUUUCCCAUUUCCCGUUUCCGUUUUCUUGUUUUUCAAACUUUAAAGGUGGUAAUAUGUGCCUUUACCCACUGAGUCAUUAUAUCCCUGUUACUGAUGAUUAUCAUAAAUCUAAGUCAUCGCGACAAUAUUGUUGCAUUAUAGAUAUCUAGGUAUUUGGUAGAAAAUAUAGAGAUAUUUAAUCUUUUCACUCAAUCCUAUCAUUUCUAAAGUGCUUUUGAGGACAUUUAAAAAAUAUUGAAACAUAUCUUGUAUCUGGAUACAGCCUAAAAAACCCCACACAACCCAUGUUACUACAGGAGUUGGUCUUCAUUCAAGCAAUCUGUGAUGUUGCACUGCCGUUUUCCACAAUAUCCCUGAAUAGACAAACCAAACAAGACAUUUUUAUUUGACCUUGUAAUUUUUUUUUAUAUCAGUCACUGUAGCAUUGAAACUGCUAUAAUAUAAUAGUUUACUAUUUAUCAGUGUCAUGUAAAUCAAAAUAAUGUCUUGUUCAGCUGAUGCAUCUUGUACCAUCAGUAAUAUAAGAAUGUGUUUUUUUCAAACUGAUUCUUCAAAAUUUGCAAGAAACAACCCUGACUGAAAAGACAUAGUAAAUACAUUUAGUUUUUAUCAAGUACAUGCAUGCACACACACACACACACGUACACAACACAAGCAUCUCGCAUCCAUUUUUUUCCCACUAAUGAAGAUGAAGUAAGAUAUGAGUGUUUUCUCACCAAGCUCGAUGCCCCAUUUAAUGCCAAUUAGCCAUUGAAUAUCUAUUUGUCUAAUGUUAUUUAUGCUUUUGAAUUUUUCUUUCUUCGGGUAACAUCAGUCGACACAGGAGAAGAACUGUCUUUCCUUCAAUUGACACUAACUAUAUAAAUAUGCUUCAGGGACAAACAAACUUUUUUCUGAUCUUCAUUCUCAAAUCAGGGUGAAAAGUUUACAUUAUGGACAUGUUCAUCUUAAGUGUUUUGA